This 385-nucleotide ribosomal RNA is filed under the name uncultured bacterium. RNAcentral describes it as "bacterial SSU rRNA". It matches the Rfam family "Bacterial small subunit ribosomal RNA", at positions 370 to 772 of the family's 1533-position model. The record is from RNAcentral.
AAUGGGGGAAACCCUGAUGCAGCGACGCCGCGUGAGUGAAGAAGUAUCUCGGUAUGUAAAGCUCUAUCAGCAGGGAAGAAAAUGACGGUACCUGACUAAGAAGCCCCGGCUAACUACGUGCCAGCAGCCGCGGUAAUACGUAGGGGGCAAGCGUUAUCCGGAAUUACUGGGUGUAAAGGGUGCGUAGGUGGUAUGGCAAGUCAGAAGUGAAAACCCAGGGCUUAACUCUGGGACUGCUUUUGAAACUGUCAGACUAGAGUGCAGGAGAGGUAAGCGGAAUUCCUAGUGUAGCGGUGAAAUGCGUAGAUAUUAGGAGGAACAUCAGUGACGAAGGCGGCUUACUGGACUGAGACUGACACUGAGGCACGAAAGCGUGGGGAGCAAA